GCUUAGCCCGGUAGAGCGACUGGCUUGUAACCAGUAGGUCGAGGGUUCAAAUCCCUCCCG
RNAcentral lists this transfer RNA (60 nucleotides) under Candidatus Aenigmatarchaeota archaeon. Its description in RNAcentral is "tRNA-Thr". It matches the Rfam family "tRNA", at positions 10 to 63 of the family's 71-position model. From Rfam's summary of the family: Transfer RNA (tRNA) molecules are approximately 80 nucleotides in length. Lineage: Archaea; Nanobdellati; Candidatus Aenigmatarchaeota. The record is from RNAcentral.